Molecule: ribosomal RNA, 787 nt
Filed under: uncultured bacterium
Lineage: Bacteria
Description: bacterial SSU rRNA
Rfam family: Bacterial small subunit ribosomal RNA
Source: RNAcentral
AGAGUUUGAUCCUGGCUCAGGAUGAACGCUGGCGGCGUGCUUAACACAUGCAAGUCGAGCGGAAAGGCCCUUUCGGGGGUACUCGAGCGGCGAACGGGUGAGUAACACGUGAGUAAUCUGCCUUGCACUCUGGGAUAGCCUUGGGAAACUGAGAUUAAUACCGGAUAUGACAUGUGCCUGCAUGGGUGUGUGUGGAAAGUUUUUUCGGUGCAAGAUGUGCUCGCGGCCUAUCAGCUUGUUGGUGAGGUAAUGGCUCACCAAGGCUUCGACGGGUAGCCGGCCUGAGAGGGUGACCGGCCACACUGGGACUGAGACACGGCCCAGACUCCUACGGGAGGCAGCAGUGGGGAAUAUUGGACAAUGGGCGGAAGCCUGAUCCAGCAACGCCGCGUGAGGGAUGACGGCCUUCGGGUUGUAAACCUCUUUCAGCACAGACGAAGCUGACCCUUUUUGGGGUGGGUGACGGUAUGUGCAGAAGAAGGACCGGCCAACUACGUGCCAGCAGCCGCGGUAAUACGUAGGGUCCGAGCGUUAUCCGGAAUUAUUGGGCGUAAAGGGCUCGUAGGCGGUUUGUUGCGUCGGGAGUGAAAACCCAGGGCUUAACUCUGGGCUUGCUUCCGAUACGGGCAGACUUGAGGUAUUCAGGGGAGAACGGAAUUCCUGGUGUAGCGGUGAAAUGCGCAGAUAUCAGGAGGAACACCGGUGGCGAAGGCGGUUCUCUGGGAAUUACCUGACGCUGAGGAGCGAAAGUGUGGGGAGCGAACAGGAUUAGAUACCCUAGUAGUCC